RNAcentral lists this ribosomal RNA (253 nucleotides) under uncultured bacterium. RNAcentral describes it as "partial 16S ribosomal RNA". It matches the Rfam family "Bacterial small subunit ribosomal RNA", at positions 524 to 776 of the family's 1533-position model. The record is from RNAcentral.
UACGUAGGGGGCUAGCGUUGCUCGGAAUUACUGGGCGUAAAGCGCACGUAGGCGGAUCUUUAAGUCAGGGGUGAAAUCCUGGAGCUCAACUCCAGAACUGCCUUUGAUACUGAGGACCUUGAGUUCGGGAGAGGUGAGUGGAACUGCGAGUGUAGAGGUGAAAUUCGUAGAUAUUCGCAAGAACACCAGUGGCGAAGGCGGCUCACUGGCCCGAUACUGACGCUGAGGUGCGAAAGCGUGGGGAGCAAACAGG